Molecule: ribosomal RNA, 253 nt
Filed under: uncultured bacterium
Lineage: Bacteria
Description: partial 16S ribosomal RNA
Rfam family: Bacterial small subunit ribosomal RNA
Source: RNAcentral
UACGUAGGCAGCGAGCGUUGUUCGGAAUUACUGGGCGUAAAGAGUGUGUAGGCGGUGCUCUAAGUUCGGUGUGAAAUCUCCUGGCUUAACUGGGAGGGUGCGCCGGAAACUGGAGUGCUCGAGCGUGGGAGAGGAAAGCGGAAUUCCUGGUGUAGCGGUGAAAUGCGUAGAUAUCGGGAGGAACACCUAUUGCGAAGGCAGCUCGCUGGGACGUAACUGACGCUGAGACGCGAAAGCGUGGGGAGCAAACAGG